Molecule: ribosomal RNA, 214 nt
Filed under: uncultured Pseudomonadota bacterium
Lineage: Bacteria; Pseudomonadati; Pseudomonadota
Description: uncultured proteobacterium partial 16S ribosomal RNA
Rfam family: Bacterial small subunit ribosomal RNA
Source: RNAcentral
CAAGACUUUGAUCAAUAGCUGAUUUGAGAGGAUGAUCAGCCACAUUGGGACUGAGACACGGCCCAAACUCCUACGGGAGGCAGCAGUGGGGAAUCUUGCACAAUGGAGGAAACUCUGAUGCAGCGAUGCCGCGUGAGUGAAGAAGGCCCUUGGGUUGUAAAGCUCUUUCGUCGGGGAAGAAAAUGACUGUACCCGAAUAAGAAGGUCCGGCUAA